AAGUGUGUGAAUGAUCUAAUGAAUAUGAAAUGAAAUAUUUAGUUUACAGUUUUUCUCAGUUGCUUCGGUGCAUUUCUCAGAACAGAAUUUAAUUUAUCAAACUACUUGUGCACACUUCAAAUCAUUGCGUCACUUACGCAUUUAAAAAAGUAGCUUCUUAUUUUGUUCAAAAAAUUGCAAAUGACAGACAAAUAAGAACAUGUACAUAAAGAAGUCACAACCCAAAUCCUCAACAGUGCUUAAUAUAGAGCUUCAUUUAAAACGUCCAGAGGCUGGAUUUUGGGUUCUGUGUGGGGUUUGCCUUCGUCAGUGUCCUCCAGGGGGAGCCAAUGAGCCGCUGUGGAGGAUGGACCUGCUGUACAUCUGGCACACCUGCAAUCAUCUGGGCAAAUCAGCCAGAGGAUAAGAGGAGUUUGUUGUCAUUCCCUCGACGCUCGAGUGUUAGCCUUUAUGGUUUCUUCUGAAGAAGUUCUUGGAUUCCUCCCUCCAAAUACCUCUGGUCUCUUCCUCCUGAUCUCAUUCCACAGCUGGUAAUACUCAACACCUCUUCCUCAUACCUGCAAACCUGUCCGUCCUCCACCAUCCAGCAGUUUUCCCUCUGGACUGUCUCAAGAUCUCCCUGACACCAAGACCCACAUUUUUCAUUUUGACAAGAUCUUUGGAAAACUUAUCUCUCUUCCUCUUCUGCAGUGUUGCUGUCCUUCCAUUCCUCCAACAGAUUUUCUGUAAUGGGACAUUUCAUCAAAAAUAGCUCCUGGAACAGAUCUCUGUACUCUUCUCUGGGAUGUGAAGCUUCAUGUAAUGAAUGAGUGACUCCACUGCUGAGAGUCAGACCAGAACUUGAUGACCUGGGGCUGAUUGAAGAUGGCUACAGCCACAUUUUAAAUAUGCUGUACAUCUUUUCUUUUUGUAUUUUUGUGUUCUGUUUUCAGAAUCUGGUAGAAUUGGGAACAAAUUCUGGGUUUUGGCAACAUGAGAGGAGCAGAUGGGAAAGUUUAGUGACACUUCAGUGUGUCACCUCCCUGACACGUUACUUCAGUGAGUACUCAUUAAAUGUGCAGAAUGAGCCAGAAGCUCAAAUCUCCAACCACAUGAUCAAGUGAAGCUAACAACUGAGCAGUUAGCUUCACUUCGUUCAGAAAAAUCAAUAAAGUCCUUUUUACCGA
This is a long non-coding RNA of Xiphophorus maculatus (southern platyfish), 1166 nucleotides long. RefSeq lists it as uncharacterized. The transcript has 2 exons. The record is from RefSeq and is a predicted model, not a curated record. Lineage: Eukaryota; Metazoa; Chordata; Actinopteri; Cyprinodontiformes; Poeciliidae.